CCUGCUGACCUAAAACACAAUCCUAUUCAAAACCUAACCCUAACCACUAACUCUAACCCCUAACCCAGUUCACGUAGGGUCCAGUUCAGAUGGGGUCCAGUUAAGAUGGGGUCCAGUUAAGAUGGGGUCCAGUUCAGAUGGGGUCCAGUUCAGAUAGGGUCCAGUUCAGAUUGGGUCCAGUUCGGUUACUGUCCAGUUCAGAUAAGGUCCAGUUCAGAUGGGGUCCAGUUUAGAUGGGGUCCAGUUCAGAUGGGGUCCAGUUCAGAUGGGGUCCAGUUCAGAUUGGGUCCAGUUCAGAUGGGGUCCAGUUCAGAUGGGGUCCAGUUCAAAUGGGGUCCAGUCCAGAUGGAGUCCAAAUCAGAUGAGGUCCAGUUCAGAUGGGGUCCAGUUCAGAUGGAGUCCAAAUCAGAUGAGGUCCAGUUCAGAUGGGGUCCAGUUCAGAUGGGGUUCAGUUCAGAUGGGGUCCAGUUCAGAUGGGGUCCAGUUCAGAUUGGGUCCAGUUUGGUUACUGUCCAGUUCAGAUAGGGUCCAGUUCAGAUGGAGUCCAGUUCAGAUGGGGUCCAGUUCAGAUGGAGUCCAGUUCAGAUUGGGUCCAGUUUGGUUACUGUCCAGUUCAGAUGGAGUCCAGUUCAGAUGGGGUCCAGUUCAGAUGGGGUCCAGUUCAGAUGGGGUCCAGUUCAGAUAGGGUCCAGUUCAGAUGGGGUCCAGUUCAGAUGGGGUCCAGUUCAGAUGGGGUCCAGUUCAG
This 745-nucleotide long non-coding RNA is filed under the name Salmo salar (Atlantic salmon). Its description in RNAcentral is "lncRNA (ENSSSAG00000095692.1)". The record is from RNAcentral. Lineage: Eukaryota; Metazoa; Chordata; Actinopteri; Salmoniformes; Salmonidae.